This is a long non-coding RNA of Triticum aestivum (bread wheat), 2056 nucleotides long. RefSeq lists it as uncharacterized. The transcript has 2 exons. The record is from RefSeq and is a predicted model, not a curated record. NCBI's taxonomy places the organism in Eukaryota, Viridiplantae, Streptophyta, Magnoliopsida, Poales, Poaceae.
CCGGGGCAGCCGGCGCGGAGGCGGCCGGCGCGGGGAGCGGUGGCGGAGCCGCGGGCGAGGGGGCCUGCAGGGAGGGAGAAGGGGAGGGCGACAGAGGAGUCUCGGCGGCGGCGGCGCAACCGGCUGCAGGAGCGCCCGCGAUGCCGCCCGCGGUGUCGCCCGACAUUCCGCCACAGGCUCCGUUUUCUGCCCUAGCUAGUUUUAUGAACAGCUCGUUAAGCUCACUGAUCCUUUCUGUUCACAGGGUGUAUUUACAUCAUUAUUAUGUUCGGAUUAACCUGAGAAUUGACGACCAAACAAUCUUUCAUUGCUUCAUGCAUAUAGAGCUUCCACAAAUAUGCUCGACAAUUGGCGGCCGAUUUUUCUUUCAAAAUUUCAUGCUUCCAGCUAACACUAAUAUCGCACCCGUUGUACUAUUUUCCAGCGUCUCACCUGGAUGCUUUCACAUUGUAAUUUUUUUGGCACCCGAGGACUAUGCUUCCAGUAUCAACAACAAUUCCGUUCCAUCAUCAUCUGUCCCCACGCAAAGAUUAUUAUCAAUAUGAUGUUUCCAGUAACCAUGCUUUGUAAGCUACGUUGCAGGGAUAUGGCGAGGAGGUGCCGUAUCGGUGCAGAAUACUGCACCGGGACGGGGAUACGCACAGAUACGCCUGGAUACGCGUAUCCCAAAGUAUCCCAUUUUUUGAAUUAAAAUAAAGAGCAAAAAAAUCAGAAAACGGCUGGGACACGCAUGAGAUACAUGAGCCAUACGUAUGGGCCUGUUACAGCCCAUCGAAAGGCCUGCUCGAUGGAUGACAAAACAUCCUAAUCGCCUGUAAUCCUGUCGCCUCUCCUGGCAGUUGCCACAUCGCGAGGAAUCGAAGUCUCUGCGACGCAUCUAAGCUCCGUCUGGGCGCCGCCAGCAGCGCCUCGCCGCUCGUCUUCAAGUGUUCGUCAAUUGUCCAUCUAAAGAAUCUGGAAUGGCGUCUAGGUUGAACAUUUAAUCCUCUGUCGCUCGUUCUGGGAUCGGGUCUAGGAGUAACACCGCUGAUGAUUCAGAUCACCAUGAAUGAAAGUCUAUUUUCAUAUCCUCAAGGUAUUGUUUCGACAUUCAAGUUUGUAAGCAUCAGAUAUGUGCUUCGACAUUCAAGUUUGUUUGCAUCGACGGUGAAAUUGGUUUGUAGAUCACAAAUUGAUCGAUGCACACACAUGUUGGCAAUAUUCAUUGCUAGUUUCUACUUACAAAGUUAUAUGAUUCCACUAGGUAUGAAUUACGUUGAGAUAGCAACAAAUUGAUGCUUCUUAAUAUCCAGGAUUCAUAACUUUAUUGUAUGUUUUCUUCAGUCUAGAGUUUGGGGCAAUAGAAAUACACUUCUACUAUUUAUUGUACUUGCUAUUGCAUUGUCAAGAGAAUUCUUUGUAUUCAAAUAAUGUCAUCAACUCAUCAUGCUUCCUAUAUUUCAUAUAUAUAUGCUGACGGGGCCAAGCUGAAUUUUUCUGUUUCUCCUUGUUGAAUAAUGCCAAUAAAAUCCAAAAAUCAACGACAGUGUGACACAACAUGUAUGAAGAGUACAGGCUUCUUACAUGGGAAUAUGUCAGAUUUCUACUGCUUUACUACCCGUACCAUAUAUGUAACACAUGUUGUUGCUUCAUACCUUCUAUACUUAUGCACCCUGUCUAAUGGAUGUAUAUUUCAAGCAGUUGUGUUGCAUCUUUGGAACUGAUAGGUACAGACAUAGACAUAUAUGGAGGCGACUGAUGCAUGCACUAUGAAGUGUGUGAUAACACUUGGAUCCGCCCUACAAUGAGGAUGACCACAAGCGAAGGGAAGCAUGUCUAUGGUCUGUAGGGAACAUACGGUGUUGACUUAAGGAGGCAUAGUGCGCACUGUUGGUGACUUGAACGAAAUAAAUUUGUAUCAUGUUUGAAAAUUAUUGUAUGAACGAACGAAGCAGGAACCAAACUUAUAUUCGGUUAGAAGCAAAUUAAUUUUACCAUGGAAGCACUUUUGUAUUGGAUGGAAGCAAAGUUUUCCUUAGUUGGAAGCUUGAUAAAAAAAUAUAUGCUGGGACGCAAA